CCCCUGUGACUGUAACACCCUAAAUGUAAUCCUCUGUGAAAUCAAUAUAUAACCAACUCUCCGUUAUUAGGGGAAGGGAGGCUGGGGGGAAUUGGAAAAUAUGGAUAACCCAAGUACUUCUGGGCCUUAGUUAGCUCUGGAAGAAACACGGUCCUUUCCGUAAGAGUUGGGUGCUAGCAGAUAAGUCCUGCACAGCCGAGCUGGGAAGCGCAGAACCAGCUUAGAGCUUGCUGUGCAUCUUUGCCUGUUGUUCUCUCCAAUCAUUGUCUGGACAGAGAAGCUGAAGACUGCAGCAGAGCUUUCCAGUGUCUGGCUACAUGAAGUCUGCCUUCUGGAUCCACAUACAAGAAAUGUCUGGCAGCUGAUGCAGCAGUCACAUCUACAUUUUGCUUUGGUGUCCUCAAAUCCCAGUGUGUGAUGGGCAAUAGGACAAGAGACUAUGAUUGGAUAGAAACGUGAGCAACUGUUUUUCAGAAAAAGCCCUUUUGUCCUUCCAAGACUACCAGACAUUAACUAGCAGAAAUGAGUUCUCCAAGCAAAAGCUAAUGGAAGGAUGAAAUAAAGCUUUGU
Anas platyrhynchos (mallard) is the source of this 570-nucleotide non-coding RNA. NCBI's taxonomy places the organism in Eukaryota, Metazoa, Chordata, Aves, Anseriformes, Anatidae. The record is from RefSeq and is a predicted model, not a curated record.